CAUGCAAGUCGAGCGGGGAAAAGUAGCUUGCUACUUGACCUAGCGGCGGACGGGUGAGUAAUGCUUAGGAAUCUGCCUAUUAGUGGGGGACAACAUCUCGAAAGGGAUGCUAAUACCGCAUACGUCCUACGGGAGAAAGCAGGGGACCUUCGGGCCUUGCGCUAAUAGAUGAGCCUAAGUCGGAUUAGCUAGUUGGUGGGGUAAAGGCCUACCAAGGCGACGAUCUGUAGCGGGUCUGAGAGGAUGAUCCGCCACACUGGGACUGAGACACGGCCCAGACUCCUACGGGAGGCAGCAGUGGGGAAUAUUGGACAAUGGGGGGAACCCUGAUCCAGCCAUGCCGCGUGUGUGAAGAAGGCCUUUUGGUUGUAAAGCACUUUAAGCGAGGAGGAGGCUACCGAGAUUAAUACUCUUGGAUAGUGGACGUUACUCGCAGAAUAAGCACCGGCUAACUCUGUGCCAGCAGCCGCGGUAAUACAGAGGGUGCAAGCGUUAAUCGGAUUUACUGGGCGUAAAGCGCGCGUAGGUGGCCAAUUAAGUCAAAUGUGAAAUCCCCGAGCUUAACUUGGGAAUUGCAUUCGAUACUGGUUGGCUAGAGUAUGGGAGAGGAUGGUAGAAUUCCAGGUGUAGCGGUGAAAUGCGUAGAGAUCUGGAGGAAUACCGAUGGCGAAGGCAGCCAUCUGGCCUAAUACUGACACUGAGGUGCGAAAGCAUGGGGAGCAAACAGGAUUAGAUACCCUGGUAGUCCAUGCCGUAAACGAUGUCUACUAGCCGUUGGGGCCUUUGAGGCUUUAGUGGCGCAGCUAACGCGAUAAGUAGACCGCCUGGGGAGUACGGUCGCAAGACUAAAACUCAAAUGAAUUG
This 864-nucleotide ribosomal RNA is filed under the name Acinetobacter sp. RNAcentral describes it as "bacterial SSU rRNA". It matches the Rfam family "Bacterial small subunit ribosomal RNA", at positions 54 to 912 of the family's 1533-position model. Lineage: Bacteria; Pseudomonadati; Pseudomonadota; Gammaproteobacteria; Moraxellales; Moraxellaceae. The record is from RNAcentral.